CCUACGGGGCGCAGCAGUCGAGAAUCAUUCACAAUGGGGGAAACCCUGAUGGUGCGACGCCGCGUGAGUGAAGAAGUAUUUCGGUAUGUAAAGCUCUAUCAGAAGGGAAGAUAAUGACGGUACCUGACUAAGAAGCUCCGGCUAAAUACGUGCCAGCAGCCGCGGUAAUACGUAUGGAGCAAGCGUUAUCCGGAUUUACUGGGUGUAAAGGGAGCGCAGACGGCAAGGCAAGUCUGAUGUGAAAGUCCGAGGCUCAACCUCGGGACUGCAUUGGAAACUGUCUGGC
This 286-nucleotide ribosomal RNA is filed under the name uncultured bacterium. RNAcentral's name for it is "partial 16S ribosomal RNA". It matches the Rfam family "Bacterial small subunit ribosomal RNA", at positions 338 to 641 of the family's 1533-position model. The record is from RNAcentral.